Molecule: ribosomal RNA, 420 nt
Filed under: uncultured Olsenella sp.
Lineage: Bacteria; Bacillati; Actinomycetota; Coriobacteriia; Coriobacteriales; Atopobiaceae
Description: bacterial SSU rRNA
Rfam family: Bacterial small subunit ribosomal RNA
Source: RNAcentral
AGGGAAUUUUCGGCAAUGGGCGAAAGCCUGACCGAGCAACGCCGCGUGAGUGAUGAAGGUUUUCGGAUUGUAAAGCUCUGUUGUAAGGGAAGAACGUCCGUGUGAAAAACAUGGAGUGACGGUACCUUACCAGAAAGCCACGGCUAACUACGUGCCAGCAGCCGCGGUAAUACGUAGGUGGCGAGCGUUAUCCGGAAUUAUUGGGCGUAAAGGGUGCGUAGGCGGCCUGUUAGGUCGGGAGUCAAAUCCGGGGGCUCAACCCCCGCCCGCUCCCGAUACCGGCGGGCUUGAGUCUGGUAGGGGAAGGCGGAAUUCCAAGUGUAGCGGUGGAAUGCGCAGAUAUUUGGAAGAACACCGGUGGCGAAGGCGGCCUUCUGGGCCACGACUGACGCUGAGGCGCGAAAGCUAGGGGAGCGAACA